GUUGAAUGUUAGUAAUAACAAACUUAUCAAGCUUCCAGCUGCAAUUGGAGAGCUUCCCUUGCUUAAAUCAUUAGACGUUUCAUUUAACUUGUUACAAAAAGUACCCGAGGAAAUUGGAUCAGCAACUUCCCUUGUCAAGUUUGAUUGUUCGAGCAAUCAACUUAAGGAACUCCCAGGUUCACUCGGAGGAUGUUUAGAUUUAUCUGAAUUGA
RNAcentral lists this unclassified non-coding RNA (212 nucleotides) under Hevea brasiliensis (rubber tree). The record is from RNAcentral. Lineage: Eukaryota; Viridiplantae; Streptophyta; Magnoliopsida; Malpighiales; Euphorbiaceae.